RNAcentral lists this ribosomal RNA (253 nucleotides) under uncultured bacterium. RNAcentral's name for it is "partial 16S ribosomal RNA". It matches the Rfam family "Bacterial small subunit ribosomal RNA", at positions 524 to 776 of the family's 1533-position model. The record is from RNAcentral.
UACGGAGGGUGCGAGCGUUGUCCGGAAUCACUGGGCGUAAAGGGCGCGUAGGCGGCUUGGUAAGGGGGCGGUGAAAGCCCGGGGCUCAACCCCGGGUCUGCCGGACCGACUGCCGAGCUUGAGCACACUAGGGGCAGGUGGAAUUCCGGGUGUAGCGGUGGAAUGCGUAGAGAUCAGGAAGAACACCCGUGGCGAAGGCGGCCCACUGGGCCGGUACUGACGCUGAGGCGCGAAGGCGUGGGGAGCGAACGGG